RNAcentral lists this ribosomal RNA (447 nucleotides) under uncultured soil bacterium. RNAcentral describes it as "bacterial SSU rRNA". It matches the Rfam family "Bacterial small subunit ribosomal RNA", at positions 26 to 518 of the family's 1533-position model. The record is from RNAcentral.
AGAACGAACGCUGGCGGCAGGCUUAACACAUGCAAGUCGAACGGUUGUAGCAAUACAGCAGUGGCAGACGGGUGAGUAACACGUGGGAACCUUCCUAGGGGUACGGAACAACUCAGGGAAACUUGAGCUAAUACCGUAUACGUCCGUGAGGAGAAAGAUUUAUCGCCCCUAGACGGGCCCGCGUAGGAUUAGGUAGUUGGUGAGGUAACGGCUCACCAAGCCUACGAUCCUUAGCUGAUCUGAGAGGAUGAUCAGCCACACUGGGACUGAGACACGGCCCAGACUCCUACGGGAGGCAGCAGUGGGGAAUCUGGACAAUGGGCGCAAGCCUGAUCCAGCCAUGCCGCGUGAGUGAAGAGGCCUUCGGGUUGUAAAGCUCUUUACCAGGGACAUAAUGAACGGUACCUGGAGAAUAAGCCCCGCAAACUUCGUGCCGAGCAAGGCCGC